AAGCCCCUUGGUAAUAACCAGGUCCAGAGUAUGGCUGUGGUUAUGGGUGGGCCCAGUAGAAAGCCCCUUGGUAAUAACCAGGUCCAGAGUAUGGCUGUGGUUAUGGGUGGGUUCAGUAGAAAGCCCCUUGGUAAUAACCAGGUCCAGAGUAUGGCUGUGGUUAUGGGUGGGCCCAGUAGAAAGCCCCUUGGUAAUAACCAGGUCCAGAGUAUGGCUGUGGUUAUGGGUGGGCCCAGUAGAAACACCCUUGGUUAUAACCAGGUCCAGAGUAUGGCUGUGGUUAUGGGUGGGCCCAGUAGAAAGCCCCUUGGUAAUAACCAGGUCCAGAGUAUGGCUG
RNAcentral lists this long non-coding RNA (337 nucleotides) under Salmo salar (Atlantic salmon). Its description in RNAcentral is "lncRNA (ENSSSAG00000109088.1)". The record is from RNAcentral. Lineage: Eukaryota; Metazoa; Chordata; Actinopteri; Salmoniformes; Salmonidae.